This 216-nucleotide ribosomal RNA is filed under the name Glomeromycotina sp. RNAcentral's name for it is "partial small subunit ribosomal RNA". The stretch from base 40 to 216 matches the Rfam family "Eukaryotic small subunit ribosomal RNA", at positions 686 to 864 of the family's 1831-position model. Lineage: Eukaryota; Fungi; Glomeromycota. The record is from RNAcentral.
GGGUCAGUAGGUUGGUCGUGCCACCGGUACGUACUGGUCUCACUGAUUCCUCCUUCCUGAAGAACCGUAAUGCCAUUAAUUUGGUGUUGCGGGGAAACAGGACUGUUACUUUGAAAAAAUUAGAGUGUUUAAAGCAAGCUAACGCUUGAAUACAUUAGCAUGGAAUAAUGAAAUUGGACGAUCGAUCCUAUUUUGUUGGCUUCUAGGAUUGACGUA